This 491-nucleotide long non-coding RNA is filed under the name Homo sapiens (human). RNAcentral's name for it is "HSALNT0344910". Lineage: Eukaryota; Metazoa; Chordata; Mammalia; Primates; Hominidae. The record is from RNAcentral.
GGAAGCUGGUCUUCGGAAGCGUCCAGGCAGAAUCAACGGUUUCUGGGUCUGAGAAGUUGCAUACACACUCUCAGUCCCUGUAUCCUGAGAUGGAGUCACCUGAGGAUCCACAGCAAGUCCUAACCAGGGAUGGGUCUGGGUGAUUAAGGAAGGUUGGCUUCAGAACUGGGCCAGAGGCACUGCUUUGCUUUUGCUGUUUUGAUCAGCUCUGUGCCUGCAUGAGACAAGGAAAAUCAAUGGGAACAGCUGGGGAAACUGAGUUACAGAGCUUUUCUGCACUGAGUCAUCAGGAGCAAAUGCUAGAUCAGAUAGAGUCUCUCUCUCUGCCACCCAGGCCAGAGUGCAGUUGACGCAGGGCAGGGGAGCCCCGAAGUGGAGCAUAGUGUGUCCGGAACUGGUGGGUUCUUGGUCUCCCUGACUUCAAGAAUGAAGCCACGGACCCUCGGGGCGCAGGAAUGGGAGGCAGCAGCUGGGGAAGCCAGAGUCUCUGG